This 221-nucleotide long non-coding RNA is filed under the name Homo sapiens (human). RNAcentral describes it as "HSALNT0373796". Lineage: Eukaryota; Metazoa; Chordata; Mammalia; Primates; Hominidae. The record is from RNAcentral.
CCAGCCCCUCGUCCCACCCUGGCUUAGGACCCCCAUCGCGGAUCCUAAGAACCUUAGGACCCACUUGGAGGACUGUGGGUAUUAGGUGUCCAAGAAGAAAGCUCAAAUCUGCUGACGGCAGGUACCUUACUUGGGAUUUACUAUCCGACAGGGGUCCGAACGCACCCGGGAACAGAAAGAAAGCAGGACAUUUGCAAUCUACCGCAGCCUAAGGGCAGAAA